This 828-nucleotide ribosomal RNA is filed under the name Otidea flavidobrunneola. RNAcentral describes it as "eukaryotic LSU rRNA". It matches the Rfam family "Eukaryotic large subunit ribosomal RNA", at positions 82 to 923 of the family's 3401-position model. The record is from RNAcentral. Lineage: Eukaryota; Fungi; Ascomycota; Pezizomycetes; Pezizales; Pyronemataceae.
AGUAACUGCGAGUGAAGCGGCAAAAGCUCAAAUUUGAAAUCUGACGUUUUUGACGUCCGAAUUGUAAUUUGGAGGGAUAUCUUCGGAGCUGGCGCUGUCUUAAGUUCUUUGGAACCAGACAUCAUAGAGGGUGAGAAUCCCGUGCCUGGAUGGCUGUCCGGCUCCAUGUGAAGUGUCUCCGACGAGUCGAGUUGUUUGGGAAUGCAGCUCAAAAUGGGUGGUAAAUUUCAUCUAAAGCUAAAUAUUGGCGAGAGACCGAUAGCGCACAAGUAGAGUGAUCGAAAGAUGAAAAGCACUUUGAAAAGAGAGUCAAAUAGUACGUGAAAUUGUUGAAAGGGAAGCGCUUGAGAUUAGAUUCGGCCGGCGGUCAUCAGCUACGUUUUUACGUUGUGCACUUGCCGUCGGUUGAGCCAGCAUCGGUUUUGAUGGCGGGAUAAAGGUUUCGGGAAUGUGGCUCCUCAAUUUAGAGGAGUGUUAAAGCCCGGAGCGCAAUGCUGCCUGUUGGGACCGAGGACCGCGCUUUGGCUAGGAUGCUGGCUAAAAGGUCUUAAGCGGCCCGUCUUGAAACACGGACCAAGGAGUCUAACAUCUAUGCGAGUGUUCGGGUGGAAAACCCUUGCGCGUAAUGAAAGUGAAUGGAGGUGGGAACCCCUUGAGGUGCACCAUCGACCGAUCCCGAUGUUUACGGAAGGAUUUGAGUAGGAGCAUAGCUGUUGGGACCCGAAAGAUGGUGAACUAUGCCUGAAUAGGGUGAAGCCAGAGGAAACCUUGGUGGAAGCUCGCAGCGGUUCUGACGUGCAAAUCGAUCGUCAAAUUUGGGUAUAGGGG